UACGAAGGGGGCUAGCGUUGCUCGGAAUGACUGGGCGUAAAGGGCGCGUAGGCGGAUGGCACAGUCAGAUGUGAAAUUCCCGGGCUUAACCUGGGGGCUGCAUUUGAUACGUGUGAUCUAGAGUGUGGAAGAGGGUCGUGGAAUUCCCAGUGUAGAGGUGAAAUUCGUAGAUAUUGGGAAGAACACCGGUGGCGAAGGCGGCGACCUGGUCCUUGACUGACGCUGAGGCGCGAAAGCGUGGGGAGCAAACAGG
RNAcentral lists this ribosomal RNA (253 nucleotides) under uncultured bacterium. RNAcentral describes it as "partial 16S ribosomal RNA". It matches the Rfam family "Bacterial small subunit ribosomal RNA", at positions 524 to 776 of the family's 1533-position model. The record is from RNAcentral.